UACGAAGGGGGCUAGCGUUGUUCGGAAUCACUGGGCGUAAAGCGCACGUAGGCGGGUUCUUAAGUCAGGGGUGAAAUCCCGAGACUCAACCUCGGAACUGCCUUUGAUACUGGGAAUCUUGAGUUCGGGAGAGGUGAGUGGAAUUGCGAGUGUAGAGGUGAAAUUCGUAGAUAUUCGCAAGAACACCAGUGGCGAAAGGCGGCUCACUGGCCCGAUACUGACGCUGAGGCACGAAAGCGUGGGGAGCAAACAGG
This 254-nucleotide ribosomal RNA is filed under the name uncultured bacterium. Its description in RNAcentral is "partial 16S ribosomal RNA". It matches the Rfam family "Bacterial small subunit ribosomal RNA", at positions 524 to 776 of the family's 1533-position model. The record is from RNAcentral.